AGUCUUGUGGUGUACCGCACAUGAAAUUGCAAAUUUUAGAGAGCGUAUAGAUCGCGCCGGGGCUU
Molecule: transfer RNA, 65 nt
Filed under: Karsenia koreana (Korean crevice salamander)
Lineage: Eukaryota; Metazoa; Chordata; Amphibia; Caudata; Plethodontidae
Description: tRNA-Cys
Source: RNAcentral